CACAGGGGUGAUAUGGGAUGUUAAUGGUUAAAAUUUUGUAACACUUUUAGGAAAUCCAACAUAUGUGUACAGACUGGGAGAAGAACUCUCUGAGAGCAGCCCUAUGGAGGAAGACUUGGGAGUUCCAGUGGAUGAAAACCUUGAUGCAAGCCAACAGUUUGCACUCACAACAGCCAUCCCUAUUACUCUGAAAGAUGGAGGAAAAAGAUGGGCCACAAAGGGACCACCUUUCAGAAUCAGCGUGUUUUCUUGUUCUCUUACAAAACAAGGAAAAUGCCUUCCCAAACACUGCAUGACAACCCCGAAAAAGAAGCUCUGAAGAAUACAGAAAGGAUUUGCCUUUGGAGGUCUAUUGAGAUACACAGAAUUCAGAAUCAGCAUAUAACCUUUUUUUCCCUCAAACCCGUGAAUUCUAAAUUUAAUCACUGUCAAACAUUUUGAGAUUCUGAUUAGCUCUACUUCCAAGCAAUUUAAAUUAAAAAUGAGCCUAAGCACAUACCUGUGGGGUGUGGACAGGUAUCCUCCUGCAGAACUGGUUUAAGAAUAGCCAUUCUUGUCAAUUUAAUCUGACCCAGAUGGCUUUCCAUUGAGAUAGGCAACCACAUCAACCAUUCUGGCAUCUGAAGGCAGUAACUUCCUAAAGUGCUUCAAAGAGAUCCCCAAGAGAAAUAUCUCACUGAGUGCUCUGACACAAACCAUAGUCUCUUCACAGUCAGCUGUUUAAAUGAAAAAUCAUCAUUUAAAAAACAAACAAGCAAAAGCAAAAACACCAAAAAGUCAGAUCAGACAAUCGUGUAAUUCAAAAUCUGCACUUUGAAAAUGUCUGACCUGAAAGGCAUGUUCCUCAAAAACAGCGUUUUCAUCUCUCUAAAUCUAUUUUACAGACCUAUUGUCUUUGUUAAUGAUUUUUAAAUAUUGUUAACUAAAGCUAUCAACUCGGUUUGUUUUAUGGCACAGACCCACAAAAGCUCCUGCUCAUUUUAAUCAGCAACGAGAUUGGGCCAUUUAUAUCUGUAUAGAUGUGUGUCUUUAGGAAUGGGAAAAAAACUGGUAAUUAAAAAGGGAGUAAGUUGGUGUUGGAUGUGUUGGUCUCUGUAGUUCAGCUUGGAUCAAAGGACUUCAGGUGGCAAAGAAGUUCAUGUCCAGUUUCCAAUUCACUUCAUUGCUCUUCCCCAAGCAUUAGCAGCACAUUUGGAUAUCAGAUGGGAUGCCAGAUUGUGUUUAGAAACUCUGGUGAAGAGGAUAUGUAAAGAAUCCCACUCUAACCUCUGUGAACAACCUAUCAAAAUAGUUGUUCAGGUUGCAGUCCUCCCCAGGGUCUUUACACAAAUAUUCACCAUGUGUUGUUCUUCUCAUUUUUCUUGAGUCCCCUGAUACUGUAGUCCAGGUAGCCAAACUGUAGUCAGUCUCAGUAGGAUGCAAUUGGUAGGCAUUGCAUGUUAUCUCUAAAGAGAAAGCAUCGUGGUACCUCUGCCUCCUCUGUAAGCAGUGAUAACAAGAGCACCCCUUUUAUCUAGGCUUGGUCAGCUUUCAAUCUAUGUAUCCCUUGUAGCUGUGGUGAUUACUUCUACAGUUUUCACAAAGAGUACUUAAGAAAGGCAAGCUUGUUCCCAACAAGUUUAAACUCAGUAUACAAGAAAAUAAUAUAAAAAAAAGACUGAGAGUCAGUAAGCUAGGACUUUUAGGGCCAAUGAGCAUUUCCUUCUUUCAAGAUAUUGAUACAAAAAGAAGAAAAAGAUAUUGCAACUUUCCUGACAUGAUUGAACUUUCUGAACGAGAGAUCAAUAGGGUUUCAGACAGCUUCCCUGUCAAUCUGAUCUCACUAGGGGAGGAGGUGGAAUUACUCUUCGUAUGGGCCUUUGACCCUCAACAGAAGGUCAUUAGCACGAGGAUUGAUUCUGCUUUUUCCUUGCCCAUAGGAUUCCGCCUUCUGCACACUAAUGCUCCGCAAUGCCUCUGGCUCUGCAGAUCAGAGGAUAGGUGCAUUGUGAGACAGGAAGCAAAGGCAAUCAUGUCCUGCUUGCAAUCCUGCUCUUCACGGACCAGAAAGGCCUUGCAGAUACAGCUGACUUAGCUCCAGAAGGCAGGAGAGUGGCAAAAAUAGGAAAAAAUUAUUAAUUUCUGUGCAGAACAGAAAUAAACAAAUAAAUACAUUGUAUUUGUUAUUUUGAUUUUGGGGUUACUCUGCAGAUGACAGCAACUAUGGGUGUAAGACAGAACAUUUCUUGAGGAAUGAAACAGAUUGUCAGUAGCCAUAUUAUCUAAUAUAAUCUACAUGCAUAUAAUACAUAUAAUCUACAUGCAAAAGAUAUACAUGUUCAUUCUUCUCUUCCGAGAUCAACAGGCCGGAACAAAUGAAGUAUAUCAACAAUCCACAGAACUGCAGUAUUAACUCUUUAGCUCCCAGUGCACUGAAUGAUAUUAUGAUGUGGAAUACCGACGAAAAACCAUGAAAACAUGACAAUAAGGAAAGAAACGUUUGCCUUAAAAGCAUCGUUGUAAGAGACAAAGCAGGUAUAAGUGCUGCUGCCUCCAUGCUUUAGACUACUUCUCACUCUUUACACCGAUAAUAACAUCACUAAUUGUCCACCUUCCAGUGCUGUCUACAAUAUGUAUUUGAGGUUCCUCUUCCCUAUGACUUAAUUUGUACCUUAUAUGCUCCCCUCAAAAUCAUCUCAAAACAGCCUCUAAUAAUUUUUGUGGCCAAAUGGCAAAAAUUAUAAUUAGCUCAUCCUGUUACUGCCUCAUAGUGUGCACUUCCUUGGUGUCUGUAACCUGAUCUUCUCCCAGUUAGACUUCUCCCUCUACAAUUUCUCCUGCAGUGGAGCUUUGAAGACUCCUACUCAUCUUUUCUGACCUAACACUCAGUCUUAUUCCCUCUAUGUUUGCCUCUGAAUAAAUCAUAUUGGUAAAUACAAAUUCAUCUACCUGCUCAAGGUUGAUGAUCCAUCCACAGAAAUCUCUCAUUUCCUCCAAACUAAACCGUUUGUUAUGUUGACAUUUCCUCUUACUACUUUGACUUAAGACUUAAAGCUGAAAUGCAAUAUGUCCAAAGAAGAAUCUUGUCUUUCUCCUUGUUAGUGGAGAGCUUUAUCAUUGUGGGAAAUGCUACAAAGAUUCAAAAUCAGGAAUUUUCUCAGAAUUGACCUCUUUCUCCUUGUCUACUUCACAGUUCUCUCUGCAUAGCACUUCUUUCACAGUUGAAACUUAUAACUGCAUCACUCACUAUCUUAUUACUUACUUUCCACAAUAUUAUUUUCUCUGACUUUGACAAAUACCAUCUUGCAUUGCUUCUAGUCUGUCAGCUGCAAAGUUAGUUUUCUUAGCUCAUUGUUUUGAUUAAGUCAUUCUUCUCCUUGUAUCCUACAACAACAAUCGUAAGCUACUCAGAGGGCUUUCAAGACUUUGUGACUGAUCUAUCCUUACUCAUUUACUGUAUUUUCACAGUUAAAGGCCACAUUCAAGUAAAGAGCCAUACCUCAGAUUCCUCUCCACACAUCACUUAAAUAUAUCAGUUUCAAAUAUCCAGUCAUAUCUGCAGCGAGACUGCUAGCAACUGAACAUUAAAAUGCAGCUUGCUUGGUAUUUUCUGCAGGCUGUGCUGUGGAACAGCCUUUUCUACCUCAACCAGAAGUCAUGUGAUAUCAGACAGCUCAAGUCAAAGGUUAUGAUGAAGAUUAUUAAUGAAUUAUACAAAUACUUCAGUAAGCCAGUCAUACCAUGAAUUUGCUGACCUAAUCUCAAAACCAGCCAACCAAACAUAACCCUAUAUUCUCGAUAUUUCCAGCUGUGGUAUAUAUUUCCUUACUGUUGCAUAAAUGAGAGGCAGAUAUGCUCUUACCUAAGAUGCCUGCUUUGUAAAUAUGUGAGUUUCACUAUUGACCUCAGUAAGACUAGGAUGGAUUAUAUAUUUAAAACUCAGUUUUGAACUAAAAACUGUACCCUAGAAAAUUGUGCAAGAAUGUGCAGCCUUUCUUCUAGAAUCAGGACUUCCUGACAGUGACAAAUCUUCUCUUGAUCAUGACCUUAUUGUCAUUUUCUACUGUAUGAAGCGUUGCCACAUUCAACUCCUUAGGGUAUAGAGGUCCCGACCUCUCUGAGAGCCAACAGCCAUCAGAUUGUCCCACACUUUUGAUUUUCUCAUUAUUUGCCUUUGUUGGAACAAAUUCAUCCAAGUCUUCAGAACUUAAUUCCUCUCCAUCAGCUAUCAGUUAAAGCACAUGGCUUCUUUCCAGCAGUACAAAUCAAACCUUCCAUUGACUCAGUGGUAGAUUUUUCUCUCACUAGUAAUUACAAAGCAAGUGGUGAAUGCAAGCAUGAGAAAGAUGUUUAAAAUAACCUUUAAAUUAGAUGGGGAAAAAAAAUUAAGAAAAUCAAGAACUCAAGUGAAGGAGGGUUUUUUAUUAAUCAGUAUAGUUUAAAGUAAAAUUAAAGGAAGAAAGGGUUUAACUUUAAGACUGUAAAAAGAUAUAAAGAAAGGACUACUAGGGCUAAAUGUAAUUAAAGAGAGACCAGGAUAAAGAUAAAUUCUAAAUAUUGAUGCUAAAAUAAAAUAAAAUGGACAUCUGUUGUCUUAAAUUCCUUAGGUUCACACCCAUUCAGUGUUUUAUUCAUGGUUAGAGACGUAUUAAGGCAAAGAUUGUAACAUGUGCCUGUAUGUAUCAUGCCCUUCUAGAACAUAAAAUCUUCAUUGUAAGCUUUGUAUCUUCCAUAAAUCUUCUAUUAUAGUUCUUGAAGAAGGGGUAGCAGCUACGAAAAUCUGUGUUGUCAAUGAAUUCCAAAAUAAAAUGUUCCAUACUUUGAUAAAAUAUUUUUUCUUUUGGCUUUAGAGUAUCUGUAACCUACCUGCAAUGUGUU
Molecule: RNA transcript, 4857 nt
Organism: Meleagris gallopavo (turkey)
Lineage: Eukaryota; Metazoa; Chordata; Aves; Galliformes; Phasianidae
Source: RefSeq, a predicted model, not a curated record